RNAcentral lists this long non-coding RNA (349 nucleotides) under Setaria viridis. RNAcentral's name for it is "long non-coding RNA (SVIR_LNC008536)". The record is from RNAcentral. Lineage: Eukaryota; Viridiplantae; Streptophyta; Magnoliopsida; Poales; Poaceae.
CUUUCUUCUGUAUCCCCAAGAUCAAUAUUACUGAUAGCAGCUACUUUUGCUAAGUAACUAGGGUCAACAGAAUUAAAAACAACAAAAGCUGAAGUGUUACCUGAGAUCUCAUUUUUUCUUUUUCUUUAUGGCUUCCGCUUUGUUCUGUACUGAUUUGUUGUUGUUAUAGUUGCACAGACUUCGCCUUUGUGCUAUGACAAGGUAUUUCUUUGCUUUUAUCUUAACAGUAACGAAACCCUCCCUCUCACUGCUUCCAUAAGUACCUUCGACCACCUCCUCUAUAAAUGAUUCUAGCUUCUUGUUUCUCUCACCAUCCCUACCCCCCUCCCAACACACACACACACACACA